Molecule: ribosomal RNA, 719 nt
Filed under: Pseudoalteromonas sp. PA17F(2010)
Lineage: Bacteria; Pseudomonadati; Pseudomonadota; Gammaproteobacteria; Alteromonadales; Pseudoalteromonadaceae
Description: bacterial SSU rRNA
Rfam family: Bacterial small subunit ribosomal RNA
Source: RNAcentral
CUGGCUCAGAUUGAACGCUGGCGGCAGGCCUAACACAUGCAAGUCGAGCGGUAACAUUUCUAGCUUGCUAGAAGAUGACGAGCGGCGGACGGGUGAGUAAUGCUUGGGAACGUGCCGUAAGGUGGGGGACAACCAUUGGAAACGAUGGCUAAUACCGCAUAAUGUCUACGGACCAAAGGGGGCUUCGGCUCUCGCCUUAUGAUCGGCCCAAGUGGGAUUAGCUAGUUGGUAAGGUAAUGGCUUACCAAGGCGACGAUCCCUAGCUGGUUUGAGAGGAUGAUCAGCCACACUGGAACUGAGACACGGUCCAGACUCCUACGGGAGGCAGCAGUGGGGAAUAUUGCACAAUGGGCGCAAGCCUGAUGCAGCCAUGCCGCGUGUGUGAAGAAGGCCUUAGGGUUGUAAAGCACUUUCAGUAAGGAGGAAAGGUUAGUAGUUAAUACCUGCUAGCUGUGACGUUACUUACAGAAGAAGCACCGGCUAACUCCGUGCCAGCAGCCGCGGUAAUACGGAGGGUGCGAGCGUUAAUCGGAAUUACUGGGCGUAAAGCGUACGCAGGCGGUUUGUUAAGCGAGAUGUGAAAGCCCCGGGCUCAACCUGGGAACUGCAUUUCGAACUGGCAAACUAGAGUGUGAUAGAGGGUGGUAGAAUUUCAGGUGUAGCGGUGAAAUGCGUAGAGAUCUGAAGGAAUACCGAUGGCGAAGGCAGCCACCUGGGUC